UCCUACGGGAGGCAGCAGUGGGGGAUAUUGCACAAUGGGGGGAACCCUGAUGCAGCGACGCCGCGUGAAGGAAGAAGUAUCUCGGUAUGUAAACUUCUAUCAGCAGGGAAGAAAAUGACGGUACCUGACUAAGAAGCCCCGGCUAACUACGUGCCAGCAGCCGCGGUAAUACGUAGGGGGCAAGCGUUAUCCGGAUUUACUGGGUGUAAAGGGAGCGUAGACGGCAGAGCAAGUCCGGAGUGAAAGCCCGGGGCCCAACCCCGGGACUGCUCUGGAAACUGUUAAGCUGGAGUGCGGGAGGGGCA
Molecule: ribosomal RNA, 305 nt
Filed under: uncultured bacterium
Lineage: Bacteria
Description: bacterial SSU rRNA
Rfam family: Bacterial small subunit ribosomal RNA
Source: RNAcentral